Molecule: transfer RNA, 78 nt
Filed under: Pseudomonas phage Astolliot
Lineage: Duplodnaviria; Heunggongvirae; Uroviricota; Caudoviricetes; Vandenendeviridae
Description: tRNA-Leu
Rfam family: tRNA
About the family: Transfer RNA (tRNA) molecules are approximately 80 nucleotides in length. Their secondary structure includes four short double-helical elements and three loops (D, anti-codon, and T loops).
Source: RNAcentral
UGCGUCUAUAGCCAAGCUGGUCAAGGCAGGGGAUUCUAAAUCCCUGAUCAUGGGUUCGAAUCCCAUUGGACGCACCAA